AUUGAACGCUGGCGGCAUGCCUAACACAUGCAAGUCGAGCGGAGCGGCGGACGGGGGAGUAAUGCCUAGGAAUUCACCUGUUAGUGGGGGAUACCGUCCGGGAACGGGAGCUAAAACCGAAUACUAUAAAGUGGACCUCGGUCGUAUUAGCUAGUUGGUGGGGUAAAGGCCUACCAAGGCGACGAUCCGAAGCUGGUCUGAGACGAUGAUCAGUCACACUGGAACUGAGACACGGCCCAGACGCCUACGGGAGGCAGCAGUGGGGAAUAUUGGACAAUGGGCGAAAGCCUGAUCCAGCCAUGCCGCGUGUGUGAAGAAGGUCUUCGGAUUGUAAAGCACUUUAUGUUGGUAGGCGUUACCUACCGAAUAAGCACCGGCUAACUUCGUGCCAGCAGCCGCGGUAAUUC
Molecule: ribosomal RNA, 407 nt
Filed under: uncultured bacterium
Lineage: Bacteria
Description: partial 16S ribosomal RNA
Rfam family: Bacterial small subunit ribosomal RNA
Source: RNAcentral